Molecule: long non-coding RNA, 1996 nt
Filed under: Bos grunniens (domestic yak)
Lineage: Eukaryota; Metazoa; Chordata; Mammalia; Artiodactyla; Bovidae
Description: lncRNA (ENSBGRG00000020180.1)
Source: RNAcentral
AUGGAAUCAAGUUCAAGAAUGGAUCUGUAUAUCCUCACAAUAGUUCUUUCAAAGUUCUCUUUUGAAACAGAAGAAUUUGACUUUUUGAAUUAUACAGUUCGAGACUAUGGAAAGUAUCUAGUCUCUCCAGAUUGCCUACGUUUGGAAAUUGGCUCAUCCUCUUUUUGGCUAGGUGAGAGUGCAAGUCAGUUUAAGCUCUUGUGACUGUAAAAUGGGAAAAAUAAUAAUAUGUUCUCAUAGGUAUUUGUGAAGACUAGAUGAAUAUUUAUGCAUAUUGCUUGCUUGCUAAAUCUCUUCAGUCAUGUCCGACUCUUUGUGACCCCAUGGCCAGUAGCCCACCAGUCUCCGCUGUCAAUGGAAUUCUCCAGGCAAGAUUACUGGAGUGAGUAGCCAUUCUGUUCUCUGGAUGAAGCUGUUAGUAGUAGAAAUAGCAUGUCUGUGAGGGACGUGGCAUGCUGCAGUCCAUGAAGUCACAAAGAGUUGAACAUGACUUAGCGACUGAAAAACAAAAUAUACUAAAUGCAAAGUAAUUUAGGGUUAUUUAAUGAAGCUCUUUUGUUGUUGUUCAACUCUUUGCUACCCCAUGGACUGCAGCAUGCCAGGCUUCCCUAUCCUUCAAGGUCUCCUAGACUUUUCUUAAACUCAUGUCCGUUGAGUUGUUAAUGUUAUCCAACCAUCUCAUCCUGUGUCACUCCCUUCUCCUUCUGCCUUUCUGCCAUUAGUUCCUCUUUGCUUUCUGCCAUUAGAGUGGUAUCAUCUGCUUGUCUCAGGUUGUUGAUAUUUCUCCUGGCAAUCUUGAGUCCAACUUCUGAUUCAUCCAGCCCAGCAUUUUGCAGGAUAUACACUGCAUAGAAGUUAAAUGAGCAGGGUGAUGAUAUACAGCCUUGUUGUACUCCUUUCCCAAUUUUGAACCAGUCUGUUGUUUCAUGUCCUGUUCUAACUAUUGCUUCUUGACCUGUGUAUGAGUUUCUCAGGAGGAAGGUAAGGUGGUCUGGUAUUUCCAUCUCUUGAAAAAAUUUCCAGUUUGUUGUAAACCACAGUCAAAAGGUUUAACAUAGUCAGAGAAGGCAGAGGUAGAAGGUUUUUUUUCUGAAAUUCUCUUGCUUUUUCUGUGAUUCAAUGGAUGCUGGCAAUUUGAUCUCUGGUUCCUCUGCCUUUUCUAAACUCAGCUUGUACAUUAGGAAGUUCUUAGUUCAUGUAGUGUUGAGGCUUAGCUUGAGGGAUUUUGAGCAUUAUCUUGCUAGCAUGUGAAAGGAGCAUAAUUGUAUGGUAGUUUGAAGUUUUUUGGCAUUGCCCUUCUUUGGGAUUGGAAUGAAAACUGACCUUUCCCAAUCCUGUGGCCACUGUUGAGUUUUCCAAAUUUGCUGGCAUAUUAAGUGCAGCACAUUAACAGCAUCAUCUUUUAGCAUUUGAAAUAGCUUAGCUAGAAUUCUGUCACCUCCAUUAGUUUUGUUUGUAGUAAUAGUUCCUUAAGGUCCACUUGACUUCACACUCUAAGAUGUCUGGUUUUAGAUGAGUGAUCACACUUCUGUGGUUAUCUGGGUCAUAAGGUAUUUUUUGUAUAGUUCUGUGUAUUCUUGCCACCUGUUCUUAAUCUCGUCUACUUCUGUUGAGUCCUAGCCAUUUCUGUCCUUUAUUGUGCCCAUUUUUGCAUGAAAUGUUCCCUUGGUAUCUCUGAUUUUCUUGAAGAGAUCUCUAGUCUUUCUAGUUCUAUUGUUUUCCUCUACUUUGCAUUGUUCACUUUAGGAUGGCUUUCCUAUUCUCCUUUCUGUUCUCUGUAGCUCUGCAUUCAGAUGGAUAUAUCUUUCUCUUUCCCCUUUGCCUUUUGCUUCUCUUUUUUUCUCAGCUAUUUUAAGGCUUCCUCUUGCAAUCAUUUGCCUUGUUACAUUUCUUUUUCUUGGGGAUGGUUUUGGUAAUCACCUCCGGUAUAAUGUUAUGGGCCUCCAUCCAUAGUUCCUCAGACACUCUUGUCUACCAAAUCUAAUCUCUUGAAUCU